AGGCCCUACGGGGCGCAGCAGGCGCGAAAACUUUACAAUGCGGGAAACCGUGAUAAGGGGACACCGAGUGCCAGCGUCAUACGCUGGCUGUCCAGGUGUGUAAAAUACACCUGUUAGCAAGGGCCGGGCAAGACCGGUGCCAGCCGCCGCGGUAACACCGGCGGCCCGAGUGGUGAUCGUGAUUAUUGGGUCUAAAGGGUCCGUAGCCGGUUUGGUCAGUCCUCCGGGAAAUCUGAUAGCUCAACUAUUAGGCUUUCGGGGGAUACUGCCAGACUUGGAACCGGGAGAGGUAAGAGGUACUACAGGGGUAGGAGUGAAAUCUUGUAAUCCCUGUGGGACCACCUGUGGCGAAGGCGUCUUACCAGAACGGGUUCGACGGUGAGGGACGAAAGCUGGGGGCACGAACCGGAUUAGAUACCCGGGUAGUCCCAGCCGUAAACGAUGCUCGCUAGGUGUCAGGCAUGGCGCGACCGUGUCUGGUGCCGCAGGGAAGCCGUGAAGCGAGCCACCUGGGAAGUACGGCCGCAAGGCUGAAACUUAAAGGAAUUGGCGGGGGAGCACAACAACGGGUGGAGCCUGCGGUUUAAUUGGACUCAACGCCGGACAACUCACCGGGGACGACAGCAAAA
Molecule: ribosomal RNA, 629 nt
Filed under: uncultured Methanosarcina sp.
Lineage: Archaea; Methanobacteriati; Methanobacteriota; Methanomicrobia; Methanosarcinales; Methanosarcinaceae
Description: bacterial SSU rRNA
Rfam family: Archaeal small subunit ribosomal RNA
Source: RNAcentral